AAACGUCACUAGCUCUGACAUGUAAAUGAUUACUUUUAAAAAUAACCAUUCACUAUACCCUUAAUUCCUUAAUGAUCCUAGUUAAGUAGCUUCGAUAAAUGAUGCUUUCUUUUGUUCGUGUCAUAACUAUCUCCGUGCUAUUUUAGUGGUCUAUCAUUAUUUCCCGCCAGUCAGAUUACGCCGUACCGAUCAAUAAGUAAGUUACAUCCUACCCAACCUGUAUAUUACCAUCCACUUUGUUCAUUUGUCAAUUACAACAGUAACAGAACUAGGCGAAUACAAGUUUGAGAAUAUCCUUUGACAGUUUGCAAUAUUAUGGAAUUUGUAAGACUCUGUAUAGUUGUUGGAUGUUUUGUGACGUAUGCAUUGGGACAAGAUGAUUCAGAAGAAAUAAGGAAUGAUUUCGUUUCGGUAACUAUUACUUUUUUCUUCCUAUUUUGAACUAAUCUUUUUUUUUCUUUUUUUCUUCAUCGAAUUGUUAUGAUUUAUGUUAUUUCUAUAUUUUUAGUGUAUGCUAUUGUAGUGUGAUCGUGUUCUCAGCUACGCUUUAACAAAGUUUUCAAUUGCAAAUGUCAAGUUGAACUUUGUUUUAGAACCCAAAGUCAAUAUUCUGACAAGGUUAACUUAUUACAUAAUUUUUUGUUUGUUAUUAAAACAGGACUGCAGCUGCGUCUAAAAUUUAAAAAAAAAAACUGAACCAC
This 701-nucleotide long non-coding RNA is filed under the name Mytilus galloprovincialis (Mediterranean mussel). Lineage: Eukaryota; Metazoa; Mollusca; Bivalvia; Mytilida; Mytilidae. The record is from RNAcentral.